UAGGGAAUCUUCGGCAAUGGACGAAAGUCUGACCGAGCAACGCCGCGUGAGGGAAGAAGGGUUUCGGAGCGUAAAACUCUGUUGUUAGAGAAGAACAAGGACGUUAGUAACUGAACGUCCCCUGACGGUAUCUAACCAGAAAGCCACGGCUAACUACGUGCCAGCAGCCGCGGUAAUACGUAGGUGGCAAGCGUUGUCCGGAUUUAUUGGGCGUAAAGCGAGCGCAGGCGGUUUCUUAAGUCUGAUGUGAAAGCCCCCGGCUCAACCGGGGAGGGUCAUUGGAAACUGGGAGACUUGAGUGCAGAAGAGGAGAGUGGAAUUCCAUGUGUAGCGGUGAAAUGCGUAGAUAUAUGGAGGAACACCAGUGGCGAAGGCGGCUCUCUGGUCUGUAACUGACGCUGAGGCUCGAAAGCGUGGGGAGCAAACAGG
This 429-nucleotide ribosomal RNA is filed under the name Gemmatimonadota bacterium. Its description in RNAcentral is "Gemmatimonadetes bacterium partial 16S ribosomal RNA". It matches the Rfam family "Bacterial small subunit ribosomal RNA", at positions 355 to 776 of the family's 1533-position model. Lineage: Bacteria; Pseudomonadati; Gemmatimonadota. The record is from RNAcentral.